Molecule: long non-coding RNA, 1737 nt
Organism: Brachypodium distachyon (stiff brome)
Lineage: Eukaryota; Viridiplantae; Streptophyta; Magnoliopsida; Poales; Poaceae
Exons: 2
Source: RefSeq, a predicted model, not a curated record
UCACUUGCUUCAGCGGUGGCGGCCCGUUGGUUCCCUUCACCUUCCAACUUCCGUUUCCCUUCCAUAAUUGUCUGCACUGCCUCUCCACUUCCCCUUCUUCUCCUUCUUCUCCUUCACUGCCACACCUUCCCUUACCCUGUCCACGACCUCCAGCGCCAGUCUGCACUGCCUCCUCGGCUCCUCCACUUCCCCUUCACCUGACCACCUUCCUUUCCCUGUCCUGACUCAGCACCGACGGACAGCACACGAUGAGAUCGACCCCGGAUGCAGCACCACACCCUCGGCCGCCGCACGCGGGCGCCAUGGACACCGGCGUGUUGAAGCCAUCCACCAGGUGACUCGGGCAUCCCCCGUGUCCUCUAUAUGCGGUGGCGGGAGCCGCGGCCGGGCGCGCCGUCACAGCGGAGGCCGCCGCCACAGUCGUUUGUGAUGCUGCUGCCUUUGCCAUGAGCGUCGAAGGCGUAGCCUCGGCUUGUGCGCCACACGCGGACUGACCAUUGUCUUUUAGAAUCAAGGAGAGAUGAAUCUGAAUCAAUGCUCUACGGUGAUGCAUUUGGAUAACUGUUUCGAACUAAUACAUUUGAGGUUGAGUUGCUUCUCAGGUUUGUGCAUUGGAAUUUAUUGUCGUCUGUUUCUAACAGAGGGCUCACCGGCGAAGGAUAUCGAGUAGUUCCGACUGAUUCUCGAUGAGGCCCGUGUGAUCAAGAACUUUGCAGCUCGGCAGAGUAAGCCGGUGAUUGCUUGGAAACGCAGAGGCGGUGGGAAGUCACAGGGACACCAAUUCAGAAUAGAUCACUUGAUUUGUACCCACCCAGUUAUGGCAUUUUUGAAGUUCAAACCUUUCUCAAUCAAGAGCUAUUGGCAGAGUUUGAUCCAGCGCCCAUGAGGCUGGGCUCGCACACGGCUACAGACUGCACGUACACGAUAUGGACUCAAUCUCUCCUGAUAUUCUGGCCAACGAAUUAAGCUUGUUAGCUUUGAAACUUGCUGGCCAAGAGAUAAGAUUUUCUGGUUGAGAAGGAGUCUAUAAAAGGCCACGUGCAGCAGGUGUUUUGCAAUCAAUUUUGGAGUUCUUCCACGUCCAUCUGAGCUUGGCUUAGAGAGAGCUACGUCCACGAAAACCCUGCUGGUUCAUCUCCUUUUGAGUGCACAAUAGGAGAUAGGAGAUCAUUGUAUCUUGGAGGAGAGCCGCUGUUGAACUCGUGCACCACGGCGAGGGCGUGAAUCUCCUUGAAGACAGCGCCUACCGGCGUGCCUUGAUCCUUCAGAGCUGCUGCACCACGACCUGCUGCAACAACUUCGUCCAGAACCUGUUCGAGCUGGUGCCCACGACGACGUCGAUUCCAUCAAUUUUUAAUCUCAGGCUUUGGCCCUAUGGUAUUCUGUAGUAUCUUCUCACGUGUGUGCACGGAGUCACUCAUCUAAACUGUGAGUUCAGUCCUCUGCAAUAUAUCAUCAACUCCUUUAAUCAACGUCGUUUCCUCAAGAUGGUGCUUCUACAGUUCUAUGUGGUUCGAGCUUGGAAUUAAUUUAAGUUCCUCCUUUUUGCCAGUGAUGGUAUUUGCAUUGUGAUGUUAACUUUUUGUUGUCAUCUCAUACUAUAUGAUUUAGCAGUUAGUCAAUCAACAAGAAGAGAUAAUCAUGUGUAGGUGUGUAUUGAAAUUUUUUGAAUUGCAGAAUUUUCUUUGCCGGUGUACAAUUUUGGAUCUGUUUUGUUAGUCAUCGGUUACAUUUUCU